This 92-nucleotide signal recognition particle RNA is filed under the name Phenylobacterium sp. RNAcentral's name for it is "signal recognition particle sRNA small type". It matches the Rfam family "Bacterial small signal recognition particle RNA". From Rfam's summary of the family: The signal recognition particle (SRP) is a universally conserved ribonucleoprotein involved in the co-translational targeting of proteins to membranes. Archaeal SRP consists of a 7S RNA and homologues of the eukaryotic SRP19 and SRP54 proteins. RNAcentral also lists the same sequence under 1 other name. Lineage: Bacteria; Pseudomonadati; Pseudomonadota; Alphaproteobacteria; Caulobacterales; Caulobacteraceae. The record is from RNAcentral.
GAUCGGGCGAUGGGCGGACGCCUCGCCAACUCGGUCAGGUCCGGAAGGAAGCAGCCGCAACGAGUUUCGCUCCGGGUCGUUGCCUGGUCUCC